CUGCAAUUCAUAGACAUAUCUGGAUCAGAGAAGCUUAUCUCCUUAACACAAUACCUGCCAUAUUGCUGAAAGAAGAGAUUCAAAUGUUUCAUCCUUGACGUCACCAGCUCAAGCCUCAACAUUGAAGAUAUCUAAAAACAGCAGAUGAAUUCCUUACUGUACCAGCUGAAGCAGAAUGAGUUAAAUAUGGUGCCAAGUUGUGGUUGUCAGGUGUGGGUGAUAAUGUCUGCAUUCAGAAAGCACCGACUCUGCCUUUGCACAUGAGGAGUAGUCUCAGAAACAUGUCCAGCCCCUCUGCCCUGCCAUCUGCUGUCCCC
Molecule: long non-coding RNA, 317 nt
Filed under: Chloebia gouldiae (Gouldian finch)
Lineage: Eukaryota; Metazoa; Chordata; Aves; Passeriformes; Passeridae
Description: Erythrura gouldiae (Gouldian finch) lncRNA (ENSEGOG00005004732.1)
Source: RNAcentral